RNAcentral lists this unclassified non-coding RNA (227 nucleotides) under uncultured fungus. RNAcentral's name for it is "partial contains 18S rRNA, ITS1, 5.8S rRNA, ITS2 and 28S rRNA". Lineage: Eukaryota; Fungi. The record is from RNAcentral.
AAGGAUCAUUCACAAUAAGAGUGUUUAUGGCACUCUUUCAAAAAUCCAUACCCACCUUGUGUGCAAUGUAAAAGAGUUUGGCGAGAAGGAAGGGGGUUAUAUUGGCCUCCUUUCAGCGAACCAGACUUUUUCAUCAUAUAUACCUUUCUAUAAGUUCCUAUUGUCUGAAGUGAUAUGAAUUAACAUAAUUCUAAAUACAACUUUCAACAACGGAUCUCUUGGCUCUC